GACGAACGCUGGCGGCGUGCCUAACACAUGCAAGUCGAACGGGGUUGUUCCUUCGGGGACAACUUAGUGGCGAACGGGUGAGUAACGCGUGAGAAACCUGCUUUUCAGUGGGGGACAACAGUUGGAAACGACUGCUAAUACCGCAUAAUGUUAUCUGGGGGCAUCCCCGAAUAACCAAAGAUUUAUUGCUGAAAGAUGGUCUCGCGUCUGAUUAGCUAGUUGGUGAGGUAACGGCUCACCAAGGCGACGAUCAGUAGCCGGUCUGAGAGGAUGAACGGCCACAUUGGGACUGAGAUACGGCCCAG
RNAcentral lists this ribosomal RNA (305 nucleotides) under uncultured bacterium. RNAcentral describes it as "bacterial SSU rRNA". It matches the Rfam family "Bacterial small subunit ribosomal RNA", at positions 28 to 334 of the family's 1533-position model. The record is from RNAcentral.